ACCGCUUUGUCUCCAAUGGAAUCAUGAUCGUGGUGUCUCUACUCCGUACUCAUGGAUACCACCAGUACUAGUACUAGUCUAUAUGAUGUCUGCGCAAGAGGGAUCGCGGGAUCUGGAUCUUUGGAGGUGCUGUUGGACAUCUCAUCUCCAGCGCCAGCUUGAAAUACCAUGGCCGCAGAGACACGGCCUGUAUAUAUAUAUAUAUAUAUAUAUUCUGGUUACACAUAGUUAUAUACACCUAACUACCCACCGGGCCUGAGAUUCUUUGCUUACCGAAUCCCGCUGUUCAACAACAGUCAACGCAUUUCACUGCGGAGCAUUUUAUUUCUGUAAGCCACUUCAUGUUCUUUUUUCUUUUCUUUUUUUUCUUUUCUUUCUUUUCUUUUUUUUCUUCUCCGAAUCAAAAAAUAAAUCCCAAACCAACGGCCCUCCCUCCGCUAUGAUAGUAAGAAUCCUUCAUGUGCCAUUUUAUGUCUAGGUACAGAUGCUCCUGCAAAAAGUUUUGUCUCGCUCUACUAAGCACUAAAAACACCACAAUUUUCUUCUGAAAUACACACUGAAAUUAAUACUGAAGAUUCUGUAUCUCAUUCUUUUUUUAUCAUUCAAAUUAAUAAAAAUCCACUCUAUUCAAGCUUGAAUCUGCUUCUGUGGUAGAUUUCUCUAUGUUCUUUUCCAUAUUACUAUAGCUGCUGCCCAGUUCUGUGAAGCUUCUUUGACAGUUGUUUUUUGUUUCAUCCAGAUUCAAGCAGGUUCAAUCAUAUUGAGAUCUGAGGAAUUCACACACCAGAGCAUCUGUUGAAUGUGAUGAAUCUCAUAUAUAUGAUGUUGAAUAUAGUGAUCAUGAGCAGGAGCUUGAUCCUUCUGAACAAUGAUAUUUGAAUAUUUCUUUUCACACUCAUUGAUAAAGGGAAAGAGCUUUGGAAGAAGGAUUUUGAUCUGAUAUUGAUAUCAAUCAAUUCCAUUACUUUUGCUAUGGGAUAGUUUGUCUGUUUCUUUCUUCCACUUUCAUAUUGAUUGAGGUUCUGGCAGU
This 1030-nucleotide small RNA is filed under the name Histoplasma ohiense. RNAcentral's name for it is "hypothetical lncRNA". Lineage: Eukaryota; Fungi; Ascomycota; Eurotiomycetes; Onygenales; Ajellomycetaceae. The record is from RNAcentral.